Molecule: ribosomal RNA, 448 nt
Filed under: uncultured bacterium
Lineage: Bacteria
Description: bacterial SSU rRNA
Rfam family: Bacterial small subunit ribosomal RNA
Source: RNAcentral
ACGAACGCUGGCGGCAGGCCUAACACAUGCAAGUCGAGCGCGUGUAGCAAUACACGAGCGGCGCACGGGUGCGUAACACGUGGGAACCUACCCUUCGGUACGGAACAACCCAGGGAAACUUGGGCUAAUACCGUAUUCGCUCCUGGGACGUGGAGUUCCAGGAGGAAAGAUUUAUUGCCGAAGGAUGGGCCCGCGCCGGAUUAGCUAGUUGGCGGGGUAAUGGCCCACCAAGGCUACGAUCCGUAGCUGGUCUGAGAGGAUGAUCAGCCACACUGGGACUGAGACACGGCCCAGACUCCUACGGGAGGCAGCAGUGGGGAAUAUUGGACAAUGGGGGCAACCCUGAUCCAGCCAUGCCGCGUGAGUGAUGAAGGCCUUCGGGUUGUAAAGCUCUUUCGCCGGGGAAGAUAAUGACGGUACCCGGAGAAGAAGCCUCGGCUAACUCCGU